RNAcentral lists this long non-coding RNA (565 nucleotides) under Dicentrarchus labrax (European seabass). Its description in RNAcentral is "lncRNA (ENSDLAG00005027362.1)". The record is from RNAcentral. Lineage: Eukaryota; Metazoa; Chordata; Actinopteri; Moronidae.
AUGCUUGUUCUUAAUCUUGUGUGUGCGGCUCUUUUGGCCGCAUCAACUGCUCAGUCAGGCAUUCCUCGAUACAGCCAUGGCCAGUGGAUACUCACUGAUGAGAACACACAAUAUGAAGAUGUUGAUGGACUAGCAGUAGAGGAGAACUUAUGGCCCGAGAGCCCACCAGAAGUUCUUGAACUGGUGACACCAGUUGACCAGAACUUGCGGACUACUCCAGAGCCGUAUGUUAUGAAGGAACAAGACUCCGAUGAAGGAGAAGAAUCGGCAUCGGAAUCGGCAUCGGCAUCGGCAUCGGCAGUCUGGAAAAUCGUCCUGAUAGCAGCCAUCCUGCUGGUGUCUAUAGUGGGAUCUCUCAGUAUGGCCUAUUACAUGUGUGUCUGGAGAGGAGGCAGGAUUCACUAUCAGCCACAGAAGGAGGGUUAUCCUUAAAAUAAAACUUAUUUUUGCAGAAACUAUUCUGGAAAUUGGGCUCUAACUCUUUGUUCCUUGUUUUACAACAAAUUGUUCUCUUCACCACCGGCAUCUGAAAAGGAAAUGAGCUACAUCAGAAAGUGGUGAAAAG